AUGGAGGCUGCUCUUGUGAGCGUUGGCACCGGGGUGAUGAAGCCGCUCCUGUCCAAGAUCUACAAUCUGCUGAAGGAAGAGCACAGCAAGUUCAAGGGCGUGCGCCGCCAGAUCGAAGAAACCAAAGAUGAGAUGAGCGGCAUGGAGGCUGCUCUGGAAGUGCUCGCAGACGCUGAGCAGCUUGACGCUGAGAUGAGAGCUUGGAAGGAGGAUGUCCGCGAGCUGUCGUAUGAUAUGGAGGAUUGCGUUGAUGACUUCAUCGCUCGCGUUGACCACGAGCGUGGUAGAUCUACAGGCCUCAAGGGGUUCUUUGACAAGCUGAAGAAGCUCAAACCUCGCCACGAGAUCGCCGGGGAGAUUGAGAGGCUCAAAGCCCGGGCUAUCGAGGCAAGCAAGAGGCAUAAGAGGUAUAAACUUGACCGCCAGUCACCUGGCUCUACCACCACUUGUGACAUUGAUCCCAGGCUGCACGCUCUUUAUGCGGAGGUCGGCGAACUUGUUGGCAUCAAAGGUCCUAGGGAGCACAUCCUUGAGUGGUUCAAGAGUGAAGCUUCUUCUACACAGCUUCGAGUGGUGUCAAUUGUUGGUCCAGGUGGUCUUGGUAAGACGACACUCGCAAAUGCAGUUUUCGAGACCAUCAAAAGCGAAUUCAGUUGCUCAGCUCUAGUUUCAGUUUCUAGAAAGCCUAACAUGAAAAAUAUUCUAAGAGACAUUGCUGAAAGAGUGCGGGUCGAGGAUUACACUUACAAUGAUGACGAGCGGCAGCUCAUUGACAAGCUAAGAGAGCACCUCCGAAAUAAAAAGUACCUUAUUGUGAUUGAUGAUAUAUGGGACACAGAAGCAUGGAAAACCAUUAGCCACGCAUUACUGAAUAACAAUAAUGGGAGCAGAAUUAUUACUACAACACGUAAUAGCACAGUUGCAUCAUUUUGUUCUUCUCAAGGGGAUUACGUUUAUAGACUGGAGCCCCUCAAUUUUGCUGACUCGAGAAGACUAUUUCUUGAAAGAGCGUUCCGUUAUGACUGUCUAUGCCCCCCUCAUCUAAAGGAAAUACUUGAAAGGAUAUUGGAAAAAUGUGCGGGGUUGCCAUUGGCUAUCAUUACCAUGUCUGGUUUGCUGGCUGAUCAAACUGCAGAAGAAGAGUGGAACAGGGCACUAGCUGCUAUUGGUUCUUCACUUGCAAAGGAACCUGAUGCUGGGGACAUGACCAAGAUAUUAUCGCUCAGUUAUUUUGAUCUUCCUCACCCUAUGAGAACUUGUUUGUUGUAUCUCAGUGCAUUCCCAGAAGAUUAUAUCAUCGAGAAACACAGUUUGAUAUAUAAAUGGAUAGCUGAAGGAUUCGUCUGUGAAGUACGAGGGCGUAGUACAUAUGAAGUAGGUGAAUCUUAUUUUAAUGAUUUCAUUAACAGGAGCUUAAUCCAACCAGCUAAGUUAAUGGACAACGGCCAGGUGGUGGCAUGCAGAGUUCACGACAUUAUUCUCGACUUCAUCACAUGCAUGGCCAAAGAAGAGAACUUCAUGACGUCAUUUGGUGAUGCAGAGCAGGGGAAGAAACACAAGGUUCGUAGGCUCUCUGUCAUGAGUCGCAAGUAUGAAAUGGCUACCAUGUCAUCAUGGGAUCUCUCUCAUGUUCGAUCGCUUGCUACGUUUGGGUCUUUUGGGCAGAAUUCUCUAGUGGAGUUCCCAGCUCUUCGUGUGUUGGACCUAGGAGAAUGCGAGGAUUUACAAAGUCAUCAUCUGGAAAAUAUUGAAAAGCUACUUCUUCUCAAGUACUUGCGUCUCAGAAUUGCGGAGAUACCGGAAGGAAUUGGAAAACUGAAGUAUUUAGAAACACUGGACAUGCGUGGUAUGCGCAUUAGAAAACUGCCGUCUACCAUGACACGGCUUCAAAGGUUGACCCGUCUAUAUGCUGACUUGGACCCUAGUUGCUUAUCGGAUGGAAUAAUUGGACAGCUGCAGAGCUUAGAAGAGCUAGAGAAUGUUUUUGUCCCCGAUGCUGAACUAGAGAGAUUUCUGCGGGAACUUGGUCAGCUAAGCAAGCUAAGGAAGUUGAGCGUAAAUGUGACAGAAGCAUUUGAUUCCAAGGAAAAGGAGGAUGCUGUAAGGUUUAUCGGAACUUUAAUAUCUUCCUACAAUAUUCAUCUUCUGAGAAUAACCUACGGGCCAAACUUGCCCUUCGAUCCUAUGCCGGACCUCCUGUUUCUGUCACUGGAGCCAUGGUGCCCCGCUAAUCCUGCUGCAUUCCGGAAGAUCUGGUUCGCUAACUGCUACAUUGACAAGAUUCCAAGUUGGAUGGUCUCGCUUGUGAAUCUCCGUAAUUUAGAUAUCUGUAUGUACCGUACAGGGCCAGAAGACGUGGCAGUCCUUGGCGGAAUACCCGCUUUGGCUUUUCUGACACUCGAGACUUGGUAUGGCAGAAAUGGAAGGAUCUUCAUCCGUGGAUUCAGAAGUCUGAAAUACUUCAAACUAGAGGUCAAGUGCUGUGGCACCGCAGUGGAAUUUGAAGAGGGGUCGAUGCCUAUGGUCGAGCACCUCCAGCUUGGAUUAAAGGGUCAUAACAGGGAGUGCGUCAAUUAUGCUACUGAUUUCGGCAUCCAGCACCUCUCCACCCUCACCAAGGUGGAUAUCAAUAUUGAUGGCAACAAUGGAAAAAUUAAAAGACUUAUCGAAACCGCUCUCCGGAAACUUCGCUACCGCCUCACUCUGUCAGCAAGUGGAGAGCGUUGUAACCAUUUUGAAGAACUUUUCACAGAAUUGUACUUUCGUAAAGCUGGGAGUAGUGUUCAACAAAAGAGGGAAGGUGCCUUUUGUUCUUUUCUGGAUCGAGUAUUCGAAGAGAUUAACCAGGAUGCUUUGUCUCGUUUGAUGGUGCUGGACGUGCAACGGGCCCACCAUGUGCGGUCUCGGUCGAUUUAG
RNAcentral lists this ribosomal RNA (2916 nucleotides) under Triticum aestivum (bread wheat). RNAcentral describes it as "partial small subunit ribosomal RNA". Lineage: Eukaryota; Viridiplantae; Streptophyta; Magnoliopsida; Poales; Poaceae. The record is from RNAcentral.